AGCACUAAGUCACUUUGUCUAUAUGGCAAACGUGAGAUGCAGUGUAUGGAGCGUCAAUAUUCUAGUAUAGAAAUUAACGAUUUAAGUCCUUCUUAAAUGAGGCCAUUUACCCAUAGAGGGUGCCAGGCCCGUAUAACGUUAAUGAUUACUAGAUGAUGUUUCCAAAGAGUCGUGUUGCUUGAUAGUGCAGCACUAAGUGGGUGGUAAACUCCAUCUAAAACUAAAUAUAACCAUGAGACCGAUAGUAAACAAGUACCGUGAGGGAAAGUUGAAAGAGAACUCUGAAUAGAGAGUUAAACAGUACGUGAAACUGCUUAGAGGUUAAGCCCGAUGAACCUGAAUAUCCGUUAUGGAAAAUUCAUCAUUAAAGUUGUAAUAUUUUAACAAUAUUAUAAUAAUAGUGUGCAUUUUUUCCAUAUAAGGACAUUGUAAUCUAUUAGCAUAUAACAAAUUUAUCAUAAAAUAUGACUUAUAGUUUAUUCAAAUUAUUAUGCUUGCAUUUUAACAUAGAAUAAAUGUCAUUAAUUUGAUAAAGUGUUGAUAAAUUAAAAUUAAUACAGUGCGUUAAUUUUUCGAAAUUAUAUAAUGGCAUAAUUAUCAUUGAUUUUUGUGUUUAUUAUAUGCAUUUGUAUGAUUAACAAUGCGAAAGAUUCAGGAUACCUUCGGGACCCGUCUUGAAACACGGACCAAGGAGUCUAACAUAUGUGCAAGUUAUUGGGAGAUAAACCUAAUAGCGUAAUUAACUUGACUAAUAAUGGGAUUAGUUUUUUAACUAUUUAUAGAUAAUUAACACAAUCCCGGGGCGUUCUAUAUAGUUAUGUAUAAUAAUAUUAUAUUAUUUAUGCCUCUAACUGGAACGUACCUUGAGCAUAUAUGCUGUGACCCGAAAGAUGGUGAACUAUACUUGAUCAGGUUGAAGUCAGGGAAACCCUGAUGGAAGACCGAAACAGUUCUGACGUGCAAAUCGAUUGUCAAUUGAGUAUAGGGGCGAAAGACCAAUCGAACCAUCUAGUAGCUGGUUCCUUCCGAAGUUUCCCUCAGGAUAGCUGGUGCAUUUUAAUGUUAUAUAAAAUAAUCUUAUCUGGUAAAGCGAAUGAUUAGAGGCCUUAGGGUCGAAACGAUCUUAACCUAUUCUCAAACUUUAAAUGGGUAAGAACCUUAACUUUCUUGAUAUGAAGUUUAAGGUUAUGAUAUAAUGUGCCCAGUGGGCCACUUUUGGUAAGCAGAACUGGCGCUGUGGGAUGAACCAAACGUAAUGUUACGGUGCCCAAAUUAACAACUCAUGCAGAAACCAUGAAAGGCGUUGGUUGCUUAAAACAGCAGGACGGUGAUCAUGGAAGUCGAAAUCCGCUAAGGAGUGUGUAACAACUCACCUGCCGAAGCAACUAGCCCUUAAAUGGAUGGCGCUUAGUUGUAUACCUAUACAUUACCGCUAAAGUAGAUGAUUUAUAUUACUUGUGAUAUAAAUUUUGAAACUUUAGUGAGUAGGAAGGUACAAUGGUAUGCGUAGAAGUGUUUGGCGUAAGCCUUCAUGGAGCUGCCAUUGGCACAGAUCUUGGUGGUAGUAGCAAAUAAUCGAAUGAGACCUUGGAGGACUGAAGUGGAGAAGGGUUUCGUGUGAACAGUGGUUGAUCACGAGUUAGUCGUCCUAAGUUCAAGGCGAAAGCCGAAAAUUUUCAAGUAAAAAUCAGUGAGUAAUAUUGUCAAAUCUUUUAUGAUUUUUAAAUACUUGAAUAAUUUUGAACGAAAGGGAAUACGGUUCCAAUUCCGUAACCUGUUGAGUAUCCGUUUGUUAUUAAAUAUGGGCCUCGUGCUCAUCCUGGCAACAGGAACGACCAUAAAGAAGCCGUCGAGAGAUAUCGGAAGAGUUUUCUUUUCUGUUUUAUAGCCGUACUACCAUGGAAGUCUUUCGCAGAGAGAUAUGGUAGAUGGGCUAGAAGAGCAUGACAUAUACUGUUGUGUCGAUAUUUUCUCCUCGGACCUUGAAAAUUUAUGGUGGGACACGCAAACUUCUCAACAGGCCGUACCAAUAUCCGCAGCUGGUCUCCAAGGUGAAGAGUCUCUAGUCGAUAGAAUAAUGUAGGUAAGGGAAGUCGGCAAAUUAGAUCCGUAACUUCGGGAUAAGGAUUGGCUCUGAAGAUUGAGAUAGUCGGGCUUGAUUGGGAAACAAUAACAUGGUUUAUGUGCUCGUUCUGGGUAAAUAGAGUUUCUAUCAUUUAUGGUAGUUUACUUGUUCCCCGGAUAGUUUAGUUACGUAGCCAAUUGUGGAACUUUCUUGCUAAAAUUUUUAAGAAUACUAAUUGGGUUAAACCAGUUAGUUCUUAUUAAUUAUAACGAUUAUCAAUUAACAAUCAAUUCAGAACUGGCACGGACUUGGGGAAUCCGACUGUCUAAUUAAAACAAAGCAUUGUGAUGGCCCUAGCGGUGUUGACACAAUGUGAUUUCUGCCCAGUGCUCUGAAUGUCAAAGUGAAGAAAUUCAAGUAAGCGCGGGUCAACGGCGGGAGUAACUAUGACUCUCUAAGGUAGCCAAAUGCCUCGUCAUCUAAUUAGUGACGCGCAUGAAUGGAUUAACGAGAUUCCUACUGUCCCUAUCUACUAUCUAGCGAAACCACAGCCAAGGGAACGGGCUUGGAAUAAUUAGCGGGGAAAGAAGACCCUUUUGAGCUUGACUCUAAUCUGGCAGUGUAAGGAGACAUAAGAGGUGUAGCAUAAGUGGGAGAUAUUAGAUUUCGGUUUGGUAUCGACAAUGAAAUACCACUACUCUUAUUGUUUCCUUACUUACUUGAUUAAAUGGAACGUGUAUCAUUUCCUAGCCAUUAUACGGAUAUAUUUAUUAUAUCUUAUGGUAUUGGGUUUUGAUGCAAGCUUCUUGAUCAAAGUAUCACGAGUUUGUUAUAUAAUCGCAAACAAAUUCUUUAAUGAGAAAAUGCAUUUAUGUAUUUUCAAUUUGAAAAUUGGUAUAACUCCAAUUACUCAGGUAUGAUCCAAUUCAAGGACAUUGCCAGGUAGGGAGUUUGACUGGGGCGGUACAUCUCUCAAAUAAUAACGGAGGUGUCCCAAGGCCAGCUCAGUGCGGACAGAAACCACACAUAGAGCAAAAGGGCAAAUGCUGACUUGAUCUCGUGUUCAGUACACACAGGGACAGCAAAAGCUCGGCCUAUCGAUCCUUUUGGUUUAAAGAGUUUUUAACAAGAGGUGUCAGAAAAGUUACCAUAGGGAUAACUGGCUUGUGGCGGCCAAGCGUUCAUAGCGACGUCGCUUUUUGAUCCUUCGAUGUCGGCUCUUCCUAUCAUUGUGAAGCAAAUUCACCAAGCGUUGGAUUGUUCACCCAUGCAAGGGAACGUGAGCUGGGUUUAGACCGUCGUGAGACAGGUUAGUUUUACCCUACUAAUGACAAAACGUUGUUGCGACAGCAUUCCUGCGUAGUACGAGAGGAACCGCAGGUACGGGACCAAUGGCACAAUACUUGUUCGAGCGAACAGUGGUAUGACGCUACGUCCGUUGGAUUAUGCCUGAACGCCUCUAAGGUCGUAUCCGUGCUGGACUGCAAUGAUAAAUAAGGGGCAAUUUGCAUUGU
RNAcentral lists this ribosomal RNA (3579 nucleotides) under Drosophila persimilis. RNAcentral's name for it is "eukaryotic LSU rRNA". It matches the Rfam family "Eukaryotic large subunit ribosomal RNA". The record is from RNAcentral. Lineage: Eukaryota; Metazoa; Arthropoda; Insecta; Diptera; Drosophilidae.